ACUCAAAGGAAUAGACGGGGGCCCGCACAAGCAGCGGAGCGUGUGGUUUAAUUCGAUGCAACGCGAAGAACCUUACCAGGGCUUGACAUGCACUCAAAGCUUGGGGAAACUCAAGGUGCCCGCAAGGGCGGGGUGCACAGGUGCUGCAUGGCUGUCGUCAGCUCGUGCCGUGAGGUGUUGGGUUAAGUCCCGCAACGAGCGCAACCCCCGCGACUAGUUGGAUAGUCUAGUCGGACUGCCGGGACCAACCCGGAGGAAGGUGGGGAUGAUGUCAAGUCAGCACGGCCCUUACGCCCUGGGCUACACACACGCUACAAUGGACGGGACAACGGGCAUAGCCAAGCCGCAAGGCGGAGCGAAUCCUAUCAAACCCGUCCUCAGUUCAGAUCGGGGGCUGCAACUCGCCCCCGUGAAGGCGGAGUUGCUAGUAACCGCGGGUCAGCACACCGCGGUGAAUACGUUCCCGGGCCUUGCACACACCGCCCGU
RNAcentral lists this ribosomal RNA (487 nucleotides) under uncultured bacterium. RNAcentral's name for it is "partial 16S ribosomal RNA". It matches the Rfam family "Bacterial small subunit ribosomal RNA", at positions 899 to 1397 of the family's 1533-position model. The record is from RNAcentral.